CGCCAAAUAACUACGAGUAAAAACUUAAAAUUUAAAAGACUUGACGGUACCUCACAACAGCCUAGAGGAGCCUGUCUAAUAACCGAUACUCCACGAUCAACCCAACCCCCCCUAGCCCAACAGUCUAUAUACCGCCGUCGCCAGCCUACCUUAUGAAAGAAACAAAGUAAGCUAAACAGUCAUACACUAACACGACAGGUCGAGGUGUAACUAAUGGGGUGGACCCAAGAUGGGCUACAUUUUCUAAUACAGAAUAUACGAAUAAACUAUGAAACAAGAAACUGAAGGCGGAUUUAGCAGUAUAUUAAGAACAAAAUACAUAGUAGAAACCAAUGCAAUGAGGUGCGUACACACCGCCCGUCAUCCCUGUCAACUAAUCACUUUAAAUCUUCAUAAACAAACAAAACUU
This 409-nucleotide ribosomal RNA is filed under the name Chironius multiventris. Its description in RNAcentral is "partial 12S ribosomal RNA". The record is from RNAcentral. Lineage: Eukaryota; Metazoa; Chordata; Lepidosauria; Squamata; Colubridae.